This 407-nucleotide ribosomal RNA is filed under the name uncultured bacterium. Its description in RNAcentral is "partial 16S ribosomal RNA". It matches the Rfam family "Bacterial small subunit ribosomal RNA", at positions 30 to 526 of the family's 1533-position model. The record is from RNAcentral.
AUUGAACGCUAGCGGGAUGCCUUACACAUGCAAGUCGAACGGAGUGGCGAACGGGGGAGUAAUGUAUCGGAACGUACACAGUAGCGGGGGAUAAAUACGCGAAAGCUUAGCUAAUACCGCAUACUAGUGGAGCGGCCGAUAUCGGAUUUGCUAGUUGGUGGGGUAACGGCUCACCAAGGCGACGAUCCGUAGCGGGUUUGAGAGGACGACCAGCCACACUGUGACGGAGACACGGCCCAGACUCCUACUGUAGGCAGCAGUGGGGAAUUUUGGACAAUUGGGGAAACACUGACCCAGCCAUACCGCGUGUGCGAUGAAGGCCUUCGGGUUGUAAAGCACUGUUGGCAGGAAAGCGGUACCUACAGAAUAAGCCCCGGCUAACUACGUGCCAGCAGCCGCGGUAAUUC